This 120-nucleotide ribosomal RNA is filed under the name uncultured bacterium. RNAcentral's name for it is "partial 16S ribosomal RNA". The record is from RNAcentral.
GAUUAACGCUAGCGACGUGCCUAAGGUAUGCAAGUCGAACGAUGAAAUUUGCGUAGCAAUACAAGAAUUUCAUAGUGGCAGACGGCUGAGUAACACGUGGGAAUCUCCCUCAAACUCGAG